GACGAACCGUACGAACGUUAUUCGGAAUCACUGGGCUUAAAGGGUGCGUAGGCGGCGCAGAAAGUAGGGUGUGAAAUCCCUCGGCUCAACCGAGGAACUGCGCCCUAAACUACUGUGCUCGAGGGAGAUAGAGGUGAGCGGAACUUAGGGUGGAGCGGUGAAAUGCGUUGAUAUCCUAAGGAACACCGGUGGCGAAAGCGGCUCACUGGAUCUCUUCUGACGCUGAGGCACGAAAGCUAGGGUAGCAAACG
RNAcentral lists this ribosomal RNA (251 nucleotides) under uncultured prokaryote. RNAcentral describes it as "partial 16S ribosomal RNA". It matches the Rfam family "Bacterial small subunit ribosomal RNA", at positions 524 to 774 of the family's 1533-position model. The record is from RNAcentral.